RNAcentral lists this ribosomal RNA (738 nucleotides) under uncultured Staphylococcus sp. RNAcentral's name for it is "SSU rRNA". It matches the Rfam family "Bacterial small subunit ribosomal RNA", at positions 120 to 844 of the family's 1533-position model. The record is from RNAcentral. Lineage: Bacteria; Bacillati; Bacillota; Bacilli; Caryophanales; Staphylococcaceae.
GAUAACCUACCUAUAAGACUGGGAUAACUUCGGGAAACCGGAGCUAAUACCGGAUAAUAUAUUGAACCGCAUGGUUCAAUAGUGAAAGACGGUUUUGCUGUCACUUAUAGAUGGAUCCGCGCCGCAUUAGCUAGUUGGUACGGUAACGGCUUACCAAGGCAACGAUGCGUAGCCGACCUGAGAGGGUGAUCGGCCACACUGGAACUGAGACACGGUCCAGACUCCUACGGGAGGCAGCAGUAGGGAAUCUUCCGCAAUGGGCGAAAGCCUGACGGAGCAACGCCGCGUGAGUGAUGAAGGUCUUCGGAUCGUAAAACUCUGUUAUUAGGGAAGAACAAAUGUGUAAGUAACUAUGCACGUCUUGACGGUACCUAAUCAGAAAGCCACGGCUAACUACGUGCCAGCAGCCGCGGUAAUACGUAGGUGGCAAGCGUUAUCCGGAAUUAUUGGGCGUAAAGCGCGCGUAGGCGGUUUUUUAAGUCUGAUGUGAAAGCCCACGGCUCAACCGUGGAGGGUCAUUGGAAACUGGAAAACUUGAGUGCAGAAGAGGAAAGUGGAAUUCCAUGUGUAGCGGUGAAAUGCGCAGAGAUAUGGAGGAACACCAGUGGCGAAGGCGACUUUCUGGUCUGUAACUGACGCUGAUGUGCGAAAGCGUGGGGAUCAAACAGGAUUAGAUACCCUGGUAGUCCACGCCGUAAACGAUGAGUGCUAAGUGUUAGGGGGUUUCCGCCCCUUAGU